Molecule: non-coding RNA, 263 nt
Organism: Hydra vulgaris (swiftwater hydra)
Lineage: Eukaryota; Metazoa; Cnidaria; Hydrozoa; Anthoathecata; Hydridae
Source: RefSeq, a predicted model, not a curated record
UCAUGAUUAAAUUAAAUGUCAAAUCUCAAGACAUGAAAUUUUUAACAGAGUUUUGGUCCAUAAUAAUCCAAGUAACACAUGUUUUAAUAAAUAUAUUUUUAAAACGGAUGCAAGCACUAAAAAAGACAACGUUAAAAAAUUAAGCAAAAAUUUAUAACGAACCAUGUUGACGAUUGGAUACGAAUCGCAGAAAAGCACCAUUAUCGAAUGGUUAUAAAUCAAAACUUUGUAUUAUAAUUGCGUAAAUAUAUUUUAAAAUUUAA